GACGAACGCUGGCGGCGUGCUUAACACAUGCAAGUCGAACGGAAAGGCCCUGCUUGCAGGGUGCUCGAGUGGCGAACGGGUGAGUAACACGUGGGUGAUCUGCCCCUUACUUUGGGAUAAGCCUGGGAAACUGGGUCUAAUACUGGAUAGGACCAUGCUGUAGGUGGUGUGGUGGAAAGAUUAGUUUCGGUAAGGGAUGAGCUCGCGGCCUAUCAGCUUGUUGGUGGGGUAAUGGCCUACCAAGGCGUCAACGGGUAGCCGGCCUGAGAGGGUGGACGGCCACAUUGGGACUGAGAUACGGCCCAGACUCCUACGGGAGGCAGCAGUGGGGAAUAUUGCACAAUGGGCGCAAGCCUGAUGCAGCGACGCCGCGUGGGGGACGACGGCCUUCGGGUUGUAAACUCCUUUCAGCCAUGGCGAAUCCCUUGUGGUGACGGUAGUGGUAGAAGAAGCACCGGCUAACUACGUGCCAGCAGCCGCGGUAAUACGUAGGGUGCGAGCGUUGUCCGGAAUUACUGGGCGUAAAGAGCUCGUAGGUGGUCUGUCGCGUCAUUUGUGAAAGCCCGGGGCUUAACUCCGGAUUGGCAGGUGAUACGGGCAUGACUGGAGUACUGUAGGGGAGACUGGAAUUCCUGGUGUAGCGGUGAAAUGCGCAGAUAUCAGGAGGAACACCGGUGGCGAAGGCGGGUCUCUGGGCAGUAACUGACGCUGAGGAGCGAAAGCAUGGGUAGCGAACAGGAUUAGAUACCCUGGUAGUCCAUGCCGUAAACGGUGGGCGCUAGGUGUGGGUUUCCUUCCACGGGAUCCGUGCCGUAGCUAACGCAUUAAGCGCCCCGCCUGGGGAGUACGGCCGCAAGGCUAAAACUCAAAGGAAUUGACGGGGGCCCGCACAAGCGGCGGAGCAUGUGGAUUAAUUCGAUGCAACGCGAAGAACCUUACCUGGGCUUGACAUGCACUGGAUGCGGCCAGAGAUGGUUGUUCCCUUUGUGGCUGGUGUGCAGGUGGUGCAUGGUUGUCGUCAGCUCGUGUCGUGAGAUGUUGGGUUAAGUCCCGCAACGAGCGCAACCCUUGUCUCGUGUUGCCAGCAUUUGGUUGGGGACUCGCGGGAGACUGCCGGGGUUAACUCGGAGGAAGGUGGGGAUGACGUCAAAUCAUCAUGCCCCUUAUGUCCAGGGCUUCACACAUGCUACAAUGGCUGGUACAGAGAGUUGCGAUACCGUGAGGUGGGGCUAAUCUCGUAAAGCCAGUCUCAGUUCGGAUUGGAGUCUGCAACUUGACUCCAUGAAGUCGGAGUCGCUAGUAAUCGCAGAUCAGCAAUGCUGCGGUGAAUACGUUCCCGGGCCU
This 1344-nucleotide ribosomal RNA is filed under the name uncultured bacterium. RNAcentral's name for it is "bacterial SSU rRNA". It matches the Rfam family "Bacterial small subunit ribosomal RNA", at positions 28 to 1381 of the family's 1533-position model. The record is from RNAcentral.